CCUACGGGAGGCAGCAGUGGGGAAUAUUGGGCAAUGGACGCAACUCUGACCCAGCAACGCCGCGUGAGGGAUGAAGGUCUUCGGAUUGUAAAACUCUUUAAGUGGGGACGAAGAGAGUGACUGUACCCCCGGAAUGAGCCUCGGCUAACUACGUGCCAGCAGCCGCGGUACUACGGAGGAGGCAAGCGUUAUCCGGAAUGACUGGGCGUAAAGGGUGCGUAGGUGGUUUGACAAGUUAGUAGCGUAAUUCCGGGGCUCAACUUCGGAACUACCACUAAAACUGGUGGGCUUGAGUGCGGGAGAGGUGAAUGGAAUUCCUAGUGUAGCGGUGGAAUGCGUAGAUAUUAGGAGGAACACCAGUGGCGAAAGCGACUCACUGGCCCGUAACUGACACUGAGGCACGAAAGCGUGGGGAGUAAACAGGAUUAGAUACCCCAGUAGUC
RNAcentral lists this ribosomal RNA (443 nucleotides) under uncultured bacterium. RNAcentral's name for it is "partial 16S ribosomal RNA". It matches the Rfam family "Bacterial small subunit ribosomal RNA", at positions 338 to 795 of the family's 1533-position model. The record is from RNAcentral.